Molecule: ribosomal RNA, 498 nt
Filed under: uncultured bacterium
Lineage: Bacteria
Description: partial 16S ribosomal RNA
Rfam family: Bacterial small subunit ribosomal RNA
Source: RNAcentral
GACGAACGCUGGCGGCGUGCCUAAUACAUGCAAGUUGAGCGCUGAAGGUUGGUACUUGUACCAACUGGAUGAGCAGCGAACGGGUGAGUAACGCGUGGGGAAUCUGCCUUUGAGCGGGGGACAACAUUUGGAAACGAAUGCUAAUACCGCAUAAAAACUUUAAACACAAGUUUUAAGUUUGAAAGAUGCAAUUGCAUCACUCAAAGAUGAUCCCGCGUUGUAUUAGCUAGUUGGUGAGGUAAAGGCUCACCAAGGCGAUGAUACAUAGCCGACCUGAGAGGGUGAUCGGCCACAUUGGGACUGAGACACGGCCCAAACUCCUACGGGAGGCAGCAGUAGGGAAUCUUCGGCAAUGGACGAAAGUCUCACCGAGCAACGCCGCGUGAGUGAAGAAGGUUUUCGGAUCGUAAAACUCUGUUGGUAGAGAAGAACGUUGGUGAGAGUGGAAAGCUCAUCAAGUGACGGUAACUACCCAGAAAGGUACGGCUAACUACGUGC